This 279-nucleotide ribosomal RNA is filed under the name uncultured bacterium. RNAcentral describes it as "partial 16S ribosomal RNA". It matches the Rfam family "Bacterial small subunit ribosomal RNA", at positions 506 to 784 of the family's 1533-position model. The record is from RNAcentral.
UGCCAGCCGCCGCGGUAAUACGGAGGGUGCAAGCGUUGUCCGGAUUUAUUGGGUUUAAAGGGUGCGUAGGCGGCCCUAUAAGUCAGUGGUGAAAGUCUUCGGCUCAACCGGAGGACUGCCAUUGAAACUGGCGAACUUGAGUACGGGAGAGGAAAGUGGAAUUCCGAGUGUAGGGGUGAAAUCCGCAGAUAUUCGGAGGAACACCAGUGGCGAAGGCGGCUUUCUGGACCGAUACUGACGCUGAGACGCGAAAGCGUGGGGAGCAAACAGGAUUAGAUA